This is a long non-coding RNA of Gopherus flavomarginatus (Mexican gopher tortoise), 548 nucleotides long. RefSeq lists it as uncharacterized. Lineage: Eukaryota; Metazoa; Chordata; Testudines; Testudinidae. The record is from RefSeq and is a predicted model, not a curated record. The transcript is spliced from 2 exons.
UGAAGGGCCAGGAAAGGAGCCUCGCCCCAGACAGAGCCAGCUGGGAAACAAAGCCGGUGUGUCCAGAUGGGACUCUCACAUGACUCCAGGUGGAGCCAAGAAUCCCACUCAGGGGCUUUUCUCCUGAUGGAGCCCCCAGUGACCAGCGAGCCAGCCCCUCAGCUGCCCAUGUGGAAGAGGUGUUGGGAAGGGUCUGUUUGCCCCAGCUGCUGCCUUGUAGCAGAGCCACGUAGUGCUAUGGCAGACCCUGGCCUGGGGUGGGAAAAGAGAACUGGACGCAGGAUCCAAGGCUGCAACUAGUGCAGUUGCUGCUCCUGUCUAGUGUGAGCUGUCAAUGGCUGCUGAUCCCUUUGAGGCCAUCCUGGGCUCCCAGGGAAGGGCAGGGACCUUUUUGGGGUGGCCAUGUUUAAGAGUUUGCUAGCCAUCUGCACAUGUGACUCGCAAGGAAGUUUGGGUCCCUUUAUUCAAACCACAGACACUCCAAGAAUUUUAAUUUUUUUUAAUUUUGUAAUUUGGGGAAAUAAAACUCUGGUUUCUGAAAGGGCUAA